ACAUACCACACACAUACUACACAAACACGCAUACACACACAUACACGUACACACACACAUACACACACCUACAUGAAUCCACAUACACAAACACACACACACAUACUGCGUAGAGAGGAACAGGAGCUUCAUGAAGAUAGAGGCCUAUUUUUACCCACUGCUUUCUCUUCACUUUCUAAAAAGUGGUUCCAUGUGCUGAAAUAAUUAAUGGCCUUUCUUCCCCUGACUGCUGGGAGCCUGCAGCCACAUAGGCCUCUCCUGUCCUCAGCCCCUGCAUGCCUGGUGCUCGCCAGGGCUGAACAGGAGUUAAGGUGACACCCCUGGUUCCAACCCUGAGCCUCCAUGUCUAGCACUGGCCCUGGGUGGCAUCUGCAGUGGGUGCUCUGGGUGCCAUCCACAAUCCUACUUUACGACAGAGACCAUGCUUCCCCUUGGGCCACUCUGGAAGCAACCCAGCUCCUGUGUUACGCAGAGUUCAGCAGAGUCCUCUGUGGUAGCCCAGCCACAGAGCUGCUUCUCUGUCGCCCCUCCACCCUCACAGGCCUGCGGAUAAGCUCAACCCACAUCUCCACUUCGGUGUCUGUUUCCAGGGGCCAGCUGGGGCCAGCAGUGAAUCUCCAGGCUGCAGCGGUGGCAGCCGGGACGGGAGCCCCUUGGAAGGAAAUGCACUGGCAGCUGCAGCAUCUCGGGUGCUGGAGAGUUUGGGAAAGUCGCAGACCCAUGGACUAUGGAAUCAGGUGGCUCCUGCUGAGGGCAAGAUAAUGAGAAGAUCACCACCUGAAACAAAAGGGUGGCACAUUAACCAGCCUCGUCGGUGGCACAUAAGACACUCAUCUCCUGUGUAAGACAUUCAUCACAUAAGACACUCAUCUCCUGUGGCCAGAGGAGAACCAAAAAACUGAUCAGAGCUAGGAUUUAACUGAAGACAGAGCUUCAGAGAAUGCCAGGUGCUCAGCCUCAGAAGGUGCUGUUCCAGAGCUGUGUACUCAGUUUCAGAAGGCGCUAUUGCAGGGCCGUGUGCUCAGACUGGGAAGGCGCCGUUCCAGGGCCGGGUGCUCGGACUCGGAAGGCGCUGUUCCAGGGCUGGGUGCUCGGACUCGGAAGGCGCUGUUCCAAGGUCUGGACCCUGGCUGGGAAGAAGGGAGGCCCUGAAACUUGGGAUGGGGCCAUCUGAAUGAAUGCACUCAAAAAUCUUGAAUCCCAGAUUCCUGUAAAUCUGCUGGGCUGAAGAGGUGUCACAUUUCUCCUCUUAAGGGAAAAUGCUGUUUGUGUGCUUGAAGACGCUGCAGAGACCUCUGCAAGAUGGUACGGACAUGCCUGCUACCACCUCCAGCUCCAUUCCCCCAGGUCAGCAUCACCAAGCUGGAGAAGCGCUGUGGCUGAAAAUGGAGGAAGAGACACUCAGCCAAGGAGCUUCAGAACCAAAAGGUAUGCAGCAGCAUGAUCCAGGGGUAAAUGCAGAACUGGAUCCAAAGAACGCUGGAUUCAGGGGAGGCAGAAGGUAGAGUUUGAUGCUGUUAGAGUUCAUUGACAUGGGCACAUUUGACCAUGACACAGAGUUUAGCACCUGGGAGGUGCUCCGUGUUGCUAGGAUGGCCUUUUGAACUUAUAAAAUAAAGCAAUGUCCCACAUUAAGCAGUGGUCGUCCGGAUUGGAAAUGGAGCAUCAUGGUCUCGUUCUCGUCUUCUUGAAAUGCACAGAGAGGAAAGAUGCAGCCUAGACCGCCGAGUCACCAAGCAGACAGCUGCCGUCCUGGAGGGUGGCCGGGCUGGGUCUGCAAGUGUCACAGACGAGAGCUGUCCUGGAAGGUGGCUGGGUCUGCAGACGUCCCCUUGAGGGCAGCUGGGUCUGCCAGUGUCUUUGUGUAAGUGACAUAUAAACUUGUGCUGUGUAAAGCCAAUAAAAUUUGGGAAUCAUUGGCAUAGCCCAAGCCUAGCUAUCCUCACUAAUACCAAACCUUAAUUGAGUUUAUAUGGGAUUUUAUUUGAUUAAUUACAAUGUCAAUCUGAGCUAAUAGUAAAAUAGAACUCCAUGUAUUUAAAUGCAUUCACCUGUUGAAUGGAUUUGUGUAAUGCCUCGAUGCUAAUUAUAAAAUCCAUUCUAUCAAAAUGACCAUUUUUUGUCAUAAUAAAGUUAACUUAUCUUUUACCCUAAUUUGCCAAACAUUCCGUUGCUUUUAGGGGACACCCCUGAAGUAAGCAAUUAACUAGGCUUCAAAUCUUUGCCCGAAGUCUAAAAGGAGAGGGGUGCCUGGUCAACAUGAUUUGGGAUGGGAAUUUACUGUCAAGGCCCUAUUCUGACACUGCAGCUCCCACAGCAGAGCCUCUGAGGGAGCACAGACAGCCUGGAGCUGUGGGGUGUCCUGCAUCUGACCCGAGGGGCCAUCACUGGAGACCCAGCAGAGAAUGCAGCAAAAGCCUCACACUGCUCUUGAAAUGGAUUCCAUUGACAGACUAAGAGCUGCUCCGUCUGCGAAACGUUAGAUUGAAGCACUCUACAUAAUGAAAAACAUUAAAAAGGCAAACCUGUGCCCUCAUGUCCCCUGCUGUGACUCAGUAUCGUUUCUCCUUCAAGGUUUUAUCCAUAUUCGCACACAGUUUUAUGCAGCAGUAGUGCAUGUAUCUGAAUAUUUGCCCUGUUAAGCAGCUUAUUAUUGAACAAAGCUCAUUGAGCACCUGGGCCGUGUCCACCUGCCAGGCCCUCUGGGAUAACAGAGAAAGAGAGCGCGGCCCUGAGAUCGAGCUCACACCGCCCACCCGCUGGAGAGCGUGUCUUUCUGCAGCCUUCCCCUGCCCAGGGCUGGUUCAGGGCGGAAAGGUGAGGCCGGAAAGAGCCACCAAAGGGAGCCCUCGAUGCGGGCAGCAGUGGGUGUGGACACGGUGGCGGCACCGCACAGAGCACUGAAAGCCUCCUGCCUGGCUGAGGAGAGCUGCCCGUCUCUCCGAGUGGCCCAUCCUAGGUACCCUGGAGCCUCACAAGCUCAGUCACCAACGUCCCAGCUUCAGGGAGGGGUGGGGCAGGAAAUUCACCACCACAUUGUGCAGGGCGGAGAUGGGAGGGCAGAGGGAGCCACUCAGGGCCCCCUGCAGAAGCCGUGGACGAAUGCUGUGAGUGCCACUCGGCCCACAAAUCCCUGGCGCCUUGACUGUGACGGUGACCACGGCUGCUUUUAUUAUACCCAGGAUAGUGCGUCGCUGCACAAAUUACCUUUCAUUUCUUCAAAGUUUCCUGUGAACCUAACUCACCUCCCCAGAUGGUCUCCCAAUUUCAUCAUCUGUAAACUGCAGGGCUGUGCCAGGGCUGAGUUGCCUGUGGUGGGUGUCCUGUGUCUGGCAGACAAGAAACAGGCAGCUAGAGGUAGCUUUUCUCUCGGUGAUUUUUCCCGAGAGCACGGGUGGGCGUUUUUCCUUUCUGCCAUCCCCCUGCCACUGCACACUGCGUGGAGCCCCUGGUGGAUCUGCAGAUCUAACUCUUGUGCCGACAUAAACCACAGCAGGGCCACAGAACAGAAGCCAAGGCAUGGCAUCAUCCCUGGGGCCCUGGGCCGAGAAUCUGUGGGGGAGCCCCCGCAGGACGCUCAGCCUUCUCCCACCCACAAGGAAGGCUGUAGAUUAGGACCAUCCCAACUCCCUCUCUCCCUGUCCUGUGCCCCGAAGGCCUGAAGGGAGCUUGGCCCGGGGGCGGGGAGGUGGCCUUGGACCUCCCGCCCUUCACAGGCACAUUCAUGCUGGGGGCUGCCUCCCUUAGCAGGAGGAAAAUACCUUCAAAAUGUGCAAUGCAUGAAAACACAAAUGCUCACUGCAGAUGCAUUUGUGAGAGCAAAACACUGGAGGCAACCUUCAGCCGGUCCUCAGCAGGUGAAGGCCGCGUGGAAAGCAGACGCCAGCGGGUGCAGCGUCGCAGGCGAGCCUCAGGGGACCUGGGCUGAGUGACGGGAGACGACCUCAAGAUGACAAAGGCACAGAAACAGAAAACAGAUUGAUUGAAGAAAGCUUGGGGGUCAGGAGAAAGCGGAGAAUGAGGAUGAGUGAGAACGUGAGCCACUCCCCAAGGCCGCCUCUGAAGACAGCCUCUGACAGGGGAGGCUCCUGUGUGGCUUCGAGGUCACUGGGCCGACCGGGUUUCUGCCCUUACAGCAGGUUAACAACAAAACUUCAACCCCAACCCCAGUGGCUAUGAAAGCAGCAUCGGGGUCCUGGGACGAAGUCACUCCUAAUCCCGCCUCUGCUACAUCCCAGCUGUGUCUGUUCCUGUGUUCCCUUCCUGCAGUUUUCCUCCACAGCAUCCGUGUUCUCAUGGGGUUCUAAGGCACUAGAGGCUCCAGCCACACACCAUGCUCACAGAAGCUAAAAUUCGUCUCCCCCACCGAAGAAAAAAAAGCAACCAGGCACUCUUCUUCAUUCUGAAAAUUGAAAAUCAGGCUUUUUAUUUGUUUGUUUUGUUUUUAACCUCGUACAGUAUCGUUUCUAAACCACAGACAGUGAAUCCAAAUCUGAAGACGGAAUAGACUGAGCCUCGGGGAUGCUCGGGCUCAUGUCACCUGUGCCCACCCCCUUGAUUUACCACCCUUGAAAGAAUGCUCAGUCUCAGCCAUGGCCAGUGGCAGCCCCUGCCUUCUGCUCUCUGCGAGGAAGGGCCUUGAGGGCAGCAGUGAAGAAAUGCUCUGAAUCCUCGGAACAGCUCCAGAGACCAGUGGGCAGGCCUUGUUCAUGUGUGUGGGCCUGACUUCCCCUGGCCUGACUUCACAUGCACACGCACACACACAGAUUACCCACAUGUCCAUUCAAACAAGCAACUUAAUAACAAGGAAAUUAAAAAAAGAAAGAUGAUUAGACCCAAAUGAGAAUCACAAGGUGGAUCCCAGUGAGAGCAGCCUGCCGCAUCACAAUCACUGCUGUGUCUGAGAACAGGACUUUCCAAUUUGGCAGCUGAUCCAAACUGAUGCCCAGGACCUAUUUUAAGCAGUGAAUCAAAGAUCACAGAAGUUAGAGAUUGGCAAGCUUUCAAUGUCAAGGAGAUGCAAAGCCUAAAAACAGUUUCUGAGCCACGAAAUUAGAGGGAACAGCCUUGCUGGUGAAUUUUCCAGAAUUCCACAAACAAUUAAGAAGUCCCAGGAAUGGCAGGAAGUGAUGAGGGCAGCCGAGGUUUUGAGAGCUCAUGUGUGGCAGGCGCUGUGGCUGGUGCAUCAGGUGACAUUAUGUUGCUUUUCUCAGCUGUAAGGUGGCUGCUGUGGUCGAUGGAGCUUCCUUUGCUGGCAGGACUGGGUGUGUUCUUCUGGCUGCAGCUCACCACCAUGCUGGGAGCGGCUCAUAGGCAUUCGGUGUGUACUGGUUUUUUCCUGAGACCACAGCAGCUGCACCUGGAAAUCGUCACACAGAGUGACUUCUCAGAUGGCAGAAAGUGACAAAUGACACUUGGUUCUCCCUCUUCGGCAACUGUGAAAUAACAGGGGUGCCACACAAAUUUAUGGGGCCAUUGUCUUGCUGUCAAAUUUUCUCCUUAAGAAAUUCUUUAAAAAGAGAGAGAUAGCAUUCUUGGCCACAUGCAUGUCUGUCGCUAAUGAUCAGGUUUCUUCUGUGUUCAGGUGGAGGCAGUUCAUAUUUUCCACCAGGACCAGACAACACUGGCAUAUCACCUACAAAGCUCAGUAAAUGUUAAAAUGUGAUUAAAUAAACAAGUGUUGAAUUUCAGAAUACCGACUUCUAUUUUUUUUUCCUCAAAAGACAUCUGCUUACCAAUCUGUGUUACUGGGGCUGAAGGCCAUGCUCCUUCCAAUGGUGGGACGACGCUCAAGUGCGAAUUUAUUACAAUUCUAAGUUUCCCUUCACCACUGCUGAUGGCGUAAAGUGCUUUGCAAAUACAUCACACCUGGUCUUCCAGGGCCCACCUCCACCAUGGGUCUGACUCAGAAUUUUCCGACAGGGAUG
Molecule: long non-coding RNA, 5927 nt
Organism: Cebus imitator (Panamanian white-faced capuchin)
Lineage: Eukaryota; Metazoa; Chordata; Mammalia; Primates; Cebidae
Exons: 3
Source: RefSeq, a predicted model, not a curated record